AAAACAAUUUAAAAUAAAUUAAUACAAUGAAUGUGAAUAUAUUGUAAGAAGUAUAUAUAUAUAACUAGAAUGUUUGACAAUAUUUUGUGUACUCAAUGGGCAUGCUUUGCAGCUAAUAAGCAAUAGUUAGCCAUUUUAUUUAGUGAAGUUUAGCUGUGUCAUUAAGUUGUUGAAUUAUUGUCAAAAAUUAUUAUGACUGGUCGGAUAAUUAUAUUCAUUUAUAAUUUUAAUAUAAUAUAUAUUUAAUAUAAUAACAAAAAAGAAAGAAACAUUUAUUAAUUCAAAGGAUGAUCUAUGUCAAGCUGAAAUGCAUGUACUAAAGUAGAAACUGUGUAGUAAAGUAAAUGGUUCAGUAAUAUAUAAAUAUAUCAGAAGUUUAUUAAAGGAAUACAUGACUUAUUGUUAAAUAUUUUUUCCUGUCUAAUUAUUGAAUAAAUCCCAGAUUCGGAAGAAAACCACUAAAUAAAUGUAUACUGAAAUGUUUUUUAUUUGAAUAAUUAUUAAUGAAAGCAGAGUUUAAUUUUUAAUUAGAAUGUAAUUAAUGUGUCAAAUCUACAGAUCAGUUAAUGUUAGUAAAUAAACGAUUUUGAAAAUGUAAAUACCAACUAUUUCAAAAUGUGCGAUAUGUGAUUUGUGGUUGAUUUAUAUUUAUAUAAUAGUUUUUAAGCAUUAAAUUAAUUAAAUAAUUAAUACAAAAAUACAAAACACAGCAUACUCAAAACAGUAUUAACCAUGUUAGUCUAUUCUUACUUUUAUAAAUAAUUAAAUAUUUCAAAUGUUAGUUAUUGUAUUGGGUUGUAAUGUACAAACAAAUGAAUUGUAAUUCAAAAAGAAAUGAUUAUUGUGAGAAAAUAUCUAAAGAUCUAAAGCACAAGAUUACGAUUUCAGCCUUAUAAAAUUUCAACUUUCCCCAAAUAAUAAUAAAAUAACUAAAAUGAACUGGCUUUAACUCAUGUUUACUCGAGUACUUCAUCACCCUAUUUGAGCAAAUGGUUUGUAAAUAGGAAAAACGGUGAGUGUUAGUGUGUCUAGGUGUAAAAACUGUACGCGUUGGGGGUUGAGAUAACCUAGAUGAUAGCCCCAAAGCUUAAUUUUGGUGAGCAAGACGGACAAGACAGUGGUGUGACCUCGGACUGCCAACAACACUGAACUAUGCCAUUCUCACAGCUUGCCAUAAUAUUUUAAAAAUUAUUUAACUUCUAUAUAAAGUGAAUAUGAAGUCGACAGUGUUUUGUCUGUUCUGCUAUCUAGUUUGUGACUUAAUAGUGUAUGCUUAACAUUAUUGAGAUAGUACAUAUAAAGAUGCGGAAAAGUCAUUAGUCAUUAUUGUAGGUGAGAAAAAAAAAAUUCUUUCAAGUUAAUUUCAAAACAGGUCAGAUUUUAUCAUUAUUUCUGUACACAAGUCAGAUAGUAGAUCUAAGAUUGUCAUUUUGUAAUAUUAUGAAAUAAUAGUGAUGAAAAAAAAAAAAGAUUUGCAUCCCUGACUUUUAUUUUUUUUUAACUUUUAAUAUCAAAAAGUCAGAGGUCAUCAAGAGAAAAAGAUGAACCUAAGAAAUGCCUCAUUCUAAACUCAAACUGUGAAUACAGAAGUACGAGAUGGUUAAAAACAAAACCCAAAUUGUAAUACCAAAAGCCCUCCUGGGCCUUACCAAAUGGCGUUAUUUAAGAAAGACUGUACAAAUAGGAUCGAGUGUUAAAAUCGGGCUGCAUCAAGAGUAUUCAAUCGAAUAAAUAAUCUGAUAAAAGUUUGAUACUUGUUAAUUAAUGCAUUCAAAACAACAAAAUAACCCCCCUUUUUAGCUCUUAAAAUAUUGUUUCAAAAAAGCUCUUCUGAAUGAAUUAAAUUAAAUAUUUGAGUAUAGUAUCAGACGGGGGAUGCUAUUCUAUUAAAUAGUCCUGAGGAAGGCCGACAAAUACGCCGAAAGCUCAACAUCAGAAAAAAGUUGAUUUUUUUUAACCUUCAAGGCUUCAUCCCUGAUCUCCUUGAUUUAUUAAAUAUUUCAAUUUUAUUUUUGACAUCAAGGAGAGAUUAAUGCUAAAAUGCUGAAAGUACUGUUUUACUUUGAUUCCCUCGUUUGAGACAUCAAAAUGAUUGACAAUGAACUUUCUUACAAAUGUAUGGCAUAUUCGUUCAUAUAACAACCACAAAGGGCAUUCAAAGUUACUUAUGGAUAUCUAAUGGCAUAAAAUUACCACCCAGCAAGAUUGCAAAUUAUUCAGAAAAAAAAAUCUAUUCAGUCCCUUACUGUGAUGGAGAAGAUUCUGCAGUCUUGGGCAUCUUGGCAUAUAUUUGCCAUAGUUAAUUUCUAUGUAACUAUUGCCUUAAUUAACAAUUAUAUUUAUUUAUUUGCAUAUUUUUUGCUAAACAAUUUUGACAUAUAGUAAUAGAAUUUUUACUAUUUUUAUUGUUAGCUUGCCCUCUAAAGCAUAAGCUUGUGUAGAGGACAGAUGAUAUAUAAAUAAAGUUCGUUAUAAUUACAGACCAAUUAUUAACACGAGGUACUUUAACACAUGACAACUUGUUUUUGGAAAACUUACGUAUAUAAUUGUAAAAGGCAAAAUUAAUCGUUCUAAUUGACUUAAAGUGAUAUUUCCUUUAAUAUUUGUGAUAAUUUUCUUUUGUUAAAUUUCUAAUAGAAUCAAACAAAAUAAUCACUGAGGGAGGAAAAGGAUUGGUGAUAUUUUAAAAUAGUUUCGAUGGUGACUGGAUGUCAUUUACAAUAUGUGAAGGUUCCUCAAUUUUGAUCAAGGAACAUUAUUUGCUUUCUUUUCAAUAGGUUUGUGAUCCCAUCAUUGACGUAAGAUGGUUUAUAAUUGUUGAAGUUUUGAAGGUGUUAUUCCAAUUAUUCUUACCUUCCUAGAGUAUUAUCCAAGUCGAUUAUCUCGUCGACCCAAUUCUAUAUGACAAAAAUGGACUUUUUAUACAAUGCUGAAGCAUGGAUUAUUAUCCCUUUUUUUAAGCCUAAUAAAUUGAAUUCAUGUGUACAGUAGUAAUUAAUUUCUUUUAAAAAUCCUAAUGAUUGCUAUUAUUCUGCUCUAUGCUAUGUUUACUGUACAUUGUUUUUAGAGUGUUUUGGUAAAAUAAUAUGAUAAACAUGCAAACAAGUCGAUCAAGAAAACGUGUUAUUACACAUUUUGUUUGUUUAAUAUUUUUUUAAAGUCUGUGAAGAGCUGAACCUAUCGGCUUGAUCCUCUUUUAUCAUCAUCUGCUUAUUCUCACUAGUUUUCUGUCAGAAGUGUUUUGGUAUCUUGCCAUCUUCAGUGGUUGGCCAGUUUUGCCUAUCAUGUCCCUUUAUAAGUUUGUAAAAUAAAUUUACACAGAAGGUGGUGAAAUGCUGAAACACGCCUGAGACAGCAGCAAGAAUCAGCAGAUGAGGAUGUUCAGGGACAGUCAAGCUUUGUCCAUACAGUUACCGUUCAAUAUCACGAUGAAAGUAGUAUAACUGACACUGACAAUACUAUGAAUUUUUUUAAAACUCUUGCAAGUGCAUAUCAUUACUUACACACUACCCCAGCUCUCCAGGCCUUCAACCUACAAUGUGAGAAAAUUUUUCUUGUUCUACUGUACUACUAAAUAAAAUAUACAUAUUUCUUAAAUAACUAUUCAAUAUAUAACUUUAAAUUUCAUUUUUUUAAAUCUGAAAAUGCUAAAAACACCAGUAGCGUGCAUUUAAAGAGAAAUCAAAUAAAAAUAAAGCGUAUAAGCCAUUUAUUGCAGAAAUAAGGAACUUCUGAAGAGGUAUGUUUAAGUAAACAACAACUUUGUUUAAAACUAUUUUUUUAUCUUAUUUGUGUUGAGCUCCAAUUUAAUCUUAUCACAGAAAAAUAUCUGUUUUUUUUUAUCUCCUUUAAAUGUAAAUCAACUUAGAUAGUGUCAUAGGGACAGAUAGCGCAAAAUCAACAAGGUCGAGAGUGUCAUUUGGUUAGAAAAACAAGUGUAUGUUCUAUGUACGUUGAACAAACUUUUUGCUCAUUCAGGAUUCAGUUUUGUAAAUAUUAACCUUAUCAAACUGGAGUACUCCAGUGUUCAUGUAAUAAUUUAACGCACAUUGGAAAAAUAUAUUAUAAAUUAAGGUGAACAUUUUUUUACGUUUGAAAUGCACAUUUUUUAAAAAAAUGUCAUUACAAUUUUUGAUUCACUCAUUAACAUUGUGAUUUUGCCUUAUCGAAACUUUAGCUGAACGGAUAAAGUGGAAAUGGUUUGGUUGCAACAUUUGGAACGGUUCAGGCUUAGGACCUUUUCCAAGCUUUUGAACUUCCAGGUAAAGCAUUUAUUGACAAAAACAGAUGAAGCUUUAAAGGACGUUUGUACUAAGAUCAGGUAAGUGGUUGUAUGUUUAAAAAAACUAUCACAGCUUGUAAUUUUCUACUUCACAUCUUAUUUACAUAUUUAUCCAAUCCUCCUAUCAAAUUUUUGAAAACUUAAACACAAUAAGUAAAUAUCAAUAUUUUCCCUUACACCAAUCAUUAUAUUUAUCCCAAAGAAAAU
Cimex lectularius (bed bug) is the source of this 4489-nucleotide long non-coding RNA. RefSeq lists it as uncharacterized. The transcript has 2 exons. The record is from RefSeq and is a predicted model, not a curated record. NCBI's taxonomy places the organism in Eukaryota, Metazoa, Arthropoda, Insecta, Hemiptera, Cimicidae.